This 2860-nucleotide long non-coding RNA is filed under the name Nicotiana tabacum (common tobacco). RNAcentral describes it as "long non-coding RNA (NTAB_LNC007514)". The record is from RNAcentral. Lineage: Eukaryota; Viridiplantae; Streptophyta; Magnoliopsida; Solanales; Solanaceae.
UAAAAUUUUGGCCCCCUAAAUUUUCGUAAAACUCGCGCUAGAACCCCUAUUUUUAUAUAAUUUCUGUUUGUCUUAAUUAAUAGACUAGUAUAUUAUUGUUUUAUGAAAUAUAAGUUUCUAUACCUAAUUAAAAACACAUUACAGAAUUGAAAGGGACUUCACCCUUAGCCAUCCCUCUCAAAAGGAACUUCACCUCAGAACCUCCAUCAACCUCCGACUCUGCCAUCGUCCCGCCGUCAACCUCCGCAGUAGAACCUCCAACUCUAUAACAGCUACGGUCGUCAAAAACCACCUCCUUCUACAGCAGCCAACAACAACCACCAUCCCACCGUCAACAAAAUCAUUCCAGCUCUUCGACUAGUUCUGAGAUUUGAUUUUCUUUUUUCUUCACCCAUAAACUUUAUCUCCACCACUAGAAACAACCACCUCUUUCUAUUAAUCCAAGCUCCGCAUUUUCAAAUAGUCCCAAAAUUCUAGGAUUUUUUCUCUACUAAGCUCGACUACCACUUCUUGUUCUCACAGAGCCCUAAUUCUAGGUUUUUGCUUGACUCUCGCGAAUUUUCUGAUUUACAUUCUUCUUUUAUUUUUUUGCAAUUUCUCAAUAGUUGAUCCAUAAUUUGCAAAUUUCAUUAGUGAGGAAGAAAUUACAACUGGUAGUUGUAGGAUAAAUCGCAGUAAGUUUUUUUAAACUCUCUUUAUUUAAAUUUUAGAUAACCACAUUCGAUAGUUGUGUUUUUGAAUGAAGAUUUUAGUAUUAAUGUUCGUUAUUAUCCGAUUCAACUUAUUUUUAUUUUUGGGAGUAUUUGAGCGACAUAAUGUGAUUGAAUGGAGAUUAAACACACUGGUGCAUGUCUUCUUAUUAUGAUUGAAAUUGUGGAUUUCAUUGAAAUUAUGCUUUGCAUUGGUACAAUUGAUAGGUUUUGAUUCUAUAUUUUGUUAGAUAUUUCACUGUUUGAUGCAGUUGUCUUUAUUUAAAAAAAUUUCUUGUUCAACUUAUUAAACUCACAGCUUUAAAGCUGUGAGUUUUUUCUUCUGAAGCUAUUAAUAUAAGUUAGAGUUCAAUUAGGAUUUUGUCAUACAAUAAUUCCUCCCUUUUUGUUCUUGAUAUUAUGAGGAAAACAGGAAAUUUCAUCAAUAUUUAUGUUCAUAUCCUUAAAAUUCAUUUCAGAAAUAAUACACAAAUCAUAUUUUUUGUAUUGUGCAGAGAACUGCUUUGGCAGACUUGCGAGUCCCGUAACUCAGCUAUAUUUUCUGUAUAACCUUAGCUUUUGGUGGUUUAUUGGAGCUUGAACAUCCAAGUUUGUGCAGGUACAAUUUGUUUUGCUAUGUGAAAAUAACUUAAUUUUCGAUAGUAUGAAAAUGGCUAGUGAUAUUUUAUUUGUGGCCAAUUUCUAAUUAGAUAUUCCUCUGGGAAUCUUCUUUUUGUGUCUAUAGAGGUAUGUUCUUUAUUAUUUCCUUGGUAUUUAACAAUCUUUGAUAUUUUGUGGAGCUUCUGUUUGUGUUCUUUAUUUUAUCCUUGUUGAUUUUUCAAUUAGGUCCAGUCCAAUCGAAUGGAGUUAUUUGUUGUUUCAUUGGUAUUUAACAAUCCUUGUUGUUUGUGUCUAUAGAAGUAGUUAUUUGUGUUUAAAAAUUUCCAUAUGGAAAUCAAAUUGUAGCAGAAUUGUCGCACGAAACUGCUAUUCAUAAGAGACAAAAAGUACAUGUAAAUAUAAAUAGAAAAUCAAUUGCAUCAGACAUAUAUGGAUUCCACCAUAUUAAUAGACCUAAAAUAAUAUUUACAAACUUAUUUUCAGUAUGCAUUUUCUCAUAAAACUCCAGUACCUUAUUACUUGUUUUUUCACAAUGAAUUGCGUCUUCCUGGUAGGGACAAUUCCACUCAGUUCCUAGAUGCAUUUUCAAAUUGCAAGUCAGAUUCCACUAAGUUUUAUCCUCAAGGCCUCAAAGUCAGAAUUUCUUCUCCUCCUUCCUUGUGUUGUCGCCUCUACCACUUCUAUCUUUCUCCCAAAGUCAGAAUAGUCUAGUAAUUUUUACACUUUGCCUAUAUUCAAUUUUAAGAGAACUAGACUUGUUACUUAUUCAUAAUUCAGACAAAAUAUUUAUCCUGAGUAAUGCUAUAAAGACUCAACUUUUCUUGUUUACAUGAACUUAAUUUCCUUCUCUUUUCCCCCCUAACCUGCUUUUAUUGAAGUCUCAAUAAACAAAUCUCAUAGCUCACAUAGGCCAAAUAGCUGAGCACAAGAACAGCUAGGAAAAGAGAGGCAAAAUUCUGAAAAUGAUUGAAGUUCCAUUUACACUUAUACUGCUAUUGUUAUACAAGUAAAGAAAAUCCUCAAUAACCUUCUCAACAUAUACAGCUGUGUAUAUCCACAACAUACUAAUUGAUACUAAAUAUUUAUAGUGAUAUCACCAAAUUCAACAUGAUUCACAAAUCAGAAGUAUGGGGACAACAUCAAAAACUCUUAAAUUAUUAAUUCUCUAAUCUCCAAGAACUAUUGACACGAUAUCUUAGACCGAAUUCUCUUGAAGAGUAAUGACUUUAUUUAUCUUAUUUUGCAGGUGGAGUGGAUCACGAAAUGGAAGAUGAUGGCAAUGAAGAACUAGACCUUACUUGAGAUGAAUUUUGAAUUGCUAUGAUGAAAGUUCUAGGAAUCUUUUGUUAUCAACAUUUUGAAACUUACUCUCUAGAAAUGUAUUAAACUUAUGCACUUGGGGUAACGUUUGCUUUAUGAAUAUUAUUAGCUUGAUGGAUUAUUUAUAUGAUUAAUAGUUUUAUUUUGUGAUUUAUUUAAAUUCUAGUGUUAUUAUAAUUUAUUAAAUGUAUAAAUAUUUAUUUAUAACAAGGGCUACAGUUUUGUUUUAA